Molecule: ribosomal RNA, 587 nt
Filed under: uncultured marine eukaryote
Lineage: Eukaryota
Description: SSU rRNA
Rfam family: Eukaryotic small subunit ribosomal RNA
Source: RNAcentral
UACCUGGUUGAUCCUGCCAGUAGUCAUAUGCUUGUCCCAAAGAUUAAGCCAUACAAGUCUAAGUAUAUGCUGUAUAGUUGAGACUGCAGAUGGCUCAUUAAAACAGUUAUAGUUUAUUUGAUGGUCCCUUACUAAUUGGAUAACCGUAGUAAUUCUAGAGCUAAUACAUGCAUAAAGCCCUGACUCACGAAAGGGUGUGUUUAUUAGAUAAAACCAAUUGCCCUCUGGGUAUUAGGUGAUUCAUAGUAACUUCUCGGAUCGGAUGUCUUCGCGACGCCGACAGAUCAUUCAAAUUUCUGCCCUAUCAGCUUUCGAUGGUACGGUAGUGGCCUACCAUGGCGGUGACGGGUGACGGAGAAUUAGGGUUCGAUUCCGGAGAGGGAGCCUGAGAAACGGCUACCACAUCUAAGGAAGGCAGCAGGCGCGUAAAUUACCCAAUCCUGACGCAGGGAGGUAGUGACAAGAAAUAUCAAUAGAUUGAACACAGUUCUGUCUAAUUGGAAUGAGUACAUUCUAAACCCCUUAACGAGAACCCAGUGGAGGGCAAGUCUGGUGCCAGCAGCCGCGGUAAUUCCAGCUCCAAUAGC